UGGGAGGUACCACGGGUUAAUCACCAGAUGCCUUUAUAGUCAAGGUUGAGCAGGGUUUUGAGGUUUCCGGUGGAACAGGUGAACGGUAUUUACUUCCGUGCCCCCUGCAGGUUAACCAGCGGGAGCCGACCCCCUCAAACUAGGAACAGUAAUUGCAAAUAGACCCAGGCCGACCGCUGAUAGUGCGCCCACGUGCAGAAAUCUAGCGCGUUUCUGACCUGACGACAGCAGGCCCCUAGACGGGUUCCCAGAGUCAGAACAACCUCGGAAUCAAAUCUAAUUAUGAGUUGGGGAGGAGAGGGUUUGGGGUGGACUGUUUGUUUCUACUACCACCGCCACCAUCCGGCAAGGUUUAUUACCUUUUUCCUCCUGUUGCUGUGUUUUGAGUUCUUGAGUCAGAAAGUGGCGAAACUUCAUCAAGAAAUCAGAAGCCAGGGUACAAUGAUUCAAUGAUUGUAAGAAACCUCUCUCAAGGGAACUCUAUCCAGGGAAGUCCAUGAAGAAAAGCUUCAAGAAAACCAAUCUGUGUUACCCUAAUGGAAACAAGCUUCAGUGUAAAAAUACAAUGGAACAUUACUGCUAUACAUUAAUAGAGCACAGAGCAAAUCUGAGUUUGGUGUAUGAUAAAAGAAAAUCUCAGUUUUGAAGAUGGAAAAACAGUUAAAUUCUGAGACCAAGAAAAUUGAAAAGGUUGGGCACUAAUGGCUCCUGAGAAGCUCUCUGCUUCUCAGGAGGCAUAGAUCAGGAUGACUGUGGUUUGAAGCCAGUCCAGGCAAAUAGUUUGAGAGAUCCUAUCUCAAAAAUUACCUGUUACA
Castor canadensis (American beaver) is the source of this 815-nucleotide non-coding RNA. NCBI's taxonomy places the organism in Eukaryota, Metazoa, Chordata, Mammalia, Rodentia, Castoridae. The record is from RefSeq and is a predicted model, not a curated record.